GACGAAGGUGGCUAGCGUUAUUCGGAUUUACUGGGCAUAAAGCGCGCGUAGGCGGCUCGAUAAGUCGGGGGUGAAAGCCCGGAGCUCAACUCCGGAAACGCCUUCGAUACUGUCGAGCUUGAGUGCAGGAGGGGUGACUGGAACUCAAGGUGUAGCGGUGAAAUGCGUAGAUAUCUUGAGGAACACCGGAGGCGAAGGCGAGUCACUGGACUGCAACUGACGCUCAGGUGCGAAAGCUAGGGGAGCAAACAGG
RNAcentral lists this ribosomal RNA (253 nucleotides) under uncultured bacterium. RNAcentral describes it as "partial 16S ribosomal RNA". It matches the Rfam family "Bacterial small subunit ribosomal RNA", at positions 524 to 776 of the family's 1533-position model. The record is from RNAcentral.